GGGUUACUCACUGUGAUGACUUGGGGGCACUGUGAUAUAUUCAUACAAAAACUUAAGAGUAAUAAUCUGACACUCUGCCUUUCUUGUGAUGGAAAAAAGGACAGGACAAAGUAUUUCUCAUUGGAAUAUGAGGUUUUUGUACAAGCAGUGAGUGGAGAUGCAGCACUGUGAUUACUUCACUACUGGGGUCGUGGGACUGAAGUCACAGUAUCUACAGGAACACCCACACCACCAACACCACCCACUCUGUUCCCUUUGGUUCAGUGCCAACCUGGGUCUGGAGAUAAAAUCACUGUUGGUUGUUUUGCACGCGACUUCUACCCAAAGAGUCUUACAUUCCAG
Micropterus salmoides (largemouth bass) is the source of this 342-nucleotide long non-coding RNA. RefSeq lists it as uncharacterized. NCBI's taxonomy places the organism in Eukaryota, Metazoa, Chordata, Actinopteri, Centrarchiformes, Centrarchidae. The transcript is spliced from 3 exons. The record is from RefSeq and is a predicted model, not a curated record.